This 1416-nucleotide long non-coding RNA is filed under the name Homo sapiens (human). RNAcentral describes it as "HSALNT0384875". Lineage: Eukaryota; Metazoa; Chordata; Mammalia; Primates; Hominidae. The record is from RNAcentral.
GCUGCUUUAAAGUUUUGAAACUACUGGACUAAAUCAGAGGUUCUCAACCAGAGGCAGUUUUGCCUCAUUCCCCUUGGGGACAUACGCUAGUGUCUGGAGAUAUUCUUGAUUGUCACAACUGUAGGAGGGUGCUACUGGCAUCUAGUGAGUGGAGGCCAGAGAUGCUGCAAAACAUCCUACAAUGCACAGGUCAGCUCCUUACAGCAAAGAAUUAUCCAGUCCUAAAUGUCAAUAGUGCCAAGGUUGAGACAACCUGGAUUGGAUAUUUCCCGGCUCCCACCCUUGUUCUCCUUAAGAACUUUGGUUCCUGCUUGCUUCUCUGACUAUUCCUACUUGAGACAAGAAGAAUGCAGCAUUUGAGUUCUUGCCUUGGACCAAAUCUGGGCACCAACCAGCUUGGCCGCUGCCCCAGCUGGGCUGGCUCCAGGCCCACCAGGAAGGGCACGUGGAUGGUCUCAUGCUUCCCCACUUCCCUUUAAUGCUUUGUUAACAUUUGAAUUACAACACUCACUACAGAAACUACAGCAAGUUGUAAACAUGUCCCCCCACCCCAAGGGGCCAGGGCCAUACUUUAUUCAUCUCUGUUUUUUCCACAGCACCAAGCUCUGUGCAGUUGAACUGGGUAGGUGUUCGAUAGACAUUCAUUGCAUCAAAUAGAUUAAUAUCACUUUAAUUUUUAUCAUGCAUCUGGGCAUCUCUUUGAAAGGUCAUGGAUGUAGAGAAUAUAAAUGCCCGUUAAAGCAAGAGCUCUUGUGUUUCUGUUCCUGUGGAGUGCAGCUGAAAUGACCGCUACUGCUCCUUCACAGUAUAUUUACAUGAGCUUCCUGUGGACAUCAGCACCAUUUAAAAUUAAGGCUGGAACACAGAUGUGGGGCUGGAAGUGGAGCAGCCCCUUUUAGCCAUGAGGCCCAAAGCCACAUGCUAAGGAUGGUGAAGCAGGGGAUAGAAAGAGCCUGUGUCUUUGCUGACUUCCUUAAGCCACGGCACCAGCCUGGGCCUGCCCUACUCUGGACAUCUAAAUGUCAGGAGCUAAGAAUCAAGUCAGUCUAGAGGUGUUCGUUGCCAUGUGGAGAGAUCCUUCCCAAGAAGAAAGAUGCUACAAAGUGUCCUGGAAAUCCUCUUUGCCCAUCCAGAUCCACCCUCCCUAGCCUGCUCUGUACCUCAGGAAGCUGCUUUUCAUGGUUCACAUAAACCAGGCUCCUGUACCCUCCAGAUAGGUCCAUCCUAUGGGUGGUACCAGCAGGAGACCAGAGAGAUGAAGGAGGGAAAAAAAGAACAUUAGGGGUUGAAUUGUAUCACCCCAAAAUUCAUAUGGUGAAGUAUAACCCCUUCGGAAUGUAACCUUAUUGGAAAUGUCAGAGGCACGUGAACCAGAGCAACUCCAUCUUGAAUAGGGGCUGGGUAAAAUGAGGCUGA